This 506-nucleotide ribosomal RNA is filed under the name uncultured bacterium. Its description in RNAcentral is "partial 16S ribosomal RNA". It matches the Rfam family "Bacterial small subunit ribosomal RNA", at positions 30 to 523 of the family's 1533-position model. The record is from RNAcentral.
AUUGAACGCUGGCGGCAGGCCUAACACAUGCAAGUCGAACGGUAACAGGGAGCAGCUUGCUGCUUCGCUGACGAGCGGCGGACGGGUGAGUAAUGCGUAGGAAUCUACCUUUAGGCGGGGGACAACUCGGGGAAACUCGAGCUAAUACCGCAUAAUAUCUAAGGAUCAAAGUUAGGUACGCAAGUAUCCGACACCUAGAGAGGAGCCUACGUUGGAUUAGCUAGUUGGUAGGGUAAAGGCCUACCAAGGCGACGAUCCAUAGCUGUUCUGAGAGGAAGACCAGCCACACUGGGACUGAGACACGGCCCAGACUCCUACGGGAGGCAGCAGUGGGGAAUAUUGGACAAUGGGGGCAACCCUGAUCCAGCGAUGCCGCGUGUGUGAAGAAGGCCUGAGGGUUGUAAAGCACUUUAGUCGGGGAGGAAAGGUAGCAGGUUAAGAGCUAGUUACUAUGACGUUACCCGAAGAAUAAGCACCGGCUAACUCUGUGCCAGCAGCCGCAGUAA